AGCAGCCGCGGUAAUUCCAGCUCCAAUAGCGUAUAUUAAAGUUGUUGCAGUUAAAAAGCUCGUAGUUGAAUUUCGGGGUUAGUAGGCUGGUCGUGCCACAGGUAUGAACUGGUCUUACUGACUUCUCCUUUCUGAAGAACUGUAAUGCCAUUAAUUUGGUGUUGCAGGGAAACAGGACUGUUACUUUGAAAAAAUUAGAGUGUUUAAAGCAGGCUAACGCUUGAAUACAUUAGCAUGGAAUAAUGAAAUAGGACGUUCGAUCCUAUUUUGUUGGUUUCUAGGAUUGACGUAAUGAUUAAUAGGGAUAGUUGGGGGCAUUAGUAUUCAAUUGUCAGAGGUGAAAUUCUUGGAUUUAUUGAAGACUAACUACUGCGAAAGCAUUUGCCAAGGAUGUUUUCAUUAAUCAAGAACGAAAGUUAGGGGAUCGAAGACGAUCAGAUACCGUCGUAGUCUUAACCAUAAACUAUGCCGACUAGGGAUCGGAUGAUGUUAAUUUUUUAAUGUACUCAUUCGGCGCCUU
This 520-nucleotide small RNA is filed under the name uncultured Glomus. RNAcentral's name for it is "SSU rRNA". It matches the Rfam family "Eukaryotic small subunit ribosomal RNA", at positions 569 to 1089 of the family's 1831-position model. Lineage: Eukaryota; Fungi; Glomeromycota; Glomeromycetes; Glomerales; Glomeraceae. The record is from RNAcentral.